RNAcentral lists this ribosomal RNA (301 nucleotides) under uncultured bacterium. Its description in RNAcentral is "partial 16S ribosomal RNA". It matches the Rfam family "Bacterial small subunit ribosomal RNA", at positions 509 to 808 of the family's 1533-position model. The record is from RNAcentral.
CAGUCGCCGCGGUAAUACGUAGGUCCCGAGCGUUGUCCGGAUUUAUUGGGCGUGAAGGGAGCGCAGGCGGUUUAGUAAGUCUGAAGUUAAAGGCAUUGGCUCAACCAACGUAUGCUUUGGAAACUGUUAGACUUGAGUGCAGAAGGGGAGAGUGGAAUUCCAUGUGUAGCGGUGAAAUGCGUAGAUAUAUGGAGGAACACCGGUGGCGAAAGCGGCUCUCUGGUCUGUCACUGACACUGAGGCGCGAAAGCGUGGGGAGCAAAUGGGAUUAGAUACCCCGGUAGUCCCUGUCUCUUAUACA